AUGGACCAUUCCAUCCCUUUUUCCCGUGCAUAUGCAUCGGACUCGGAUGACGAUGGUCCCGAUGAACAAGUUGAUGCUGCGGAGGGGUUCACGGUGAAGGAGGCCGAAGCUUUCGAGAAGGUAUUUGGUCGGGAUCAUCGGACUACAUUGUUCAAGGAUGUUAGUCUCGCGGAUGAAGUCGUGGUAGAUGGUGGCCAAUGUGUACCUCUUGGGGUUAGGCCAAGCUCUCAC
RNAcentral lists this ribosomal RNA (231 nucleotides) under Triticum aestivum (bread wheat). Its description in RNAcentral is "partial small subunit ribosomal RNA". The record is from RNAcentral. Lineage: Eukaryota; Viridiplantae; Streptophyta; Magnoliopsida; Poales; Poaceae.